UGCCACUCAGUUUGAGAGACGGUGAAACGAUCACUGAAGCAUGAGGUUCCCCACAUCUCUGCUAUAUGCGUGAAAUCACAUAGAUAAACCACAGAUUCAAGAAAAAACAAGGCAUGGAGAUUAUGCAGCACUGAAGUCCUGAUAAUAGAGAAAUGGCAAAGCUUUAAAAUCAUGAUGAGGUGUGAGUUACAUAAGUACACUCCAUUUUUGAUGGCUUGAGAGUAGCAUAAAACUGUUGGGUAAUCUUAAUUGAACAUAAUUGCACCUUUUGAAAACUAAGAAUGGUGCAUUAGAUUAAAAAAAAACAAAGUACUGUCAUUGUAUCAUGACUUCAUUUUAGUGUUAUCACAUCCAUUCAGUAUUCUUGGACUUGUCUGGAAUUUUUUAUUUUUAAAUGUGAUUUCUCCAGGCAGACAUUUCUAGGGCCAGGGCAGGUUCUUCUAUGUCUUGUUUAUUCUUUUUCAUAAAUAACAAAACCCUUUUUCACAGAAGCCUUUCGUUUUAGUGACAUGGAAAGCUAAGAUGCGACUGUUAUUGCAAAAAUCCCUCUUACUGCCUUACAAGACAUGCUGAUUUUAUCCUGAGUCUCAGGUAAUGCUGUUUUUAGCUCAGACCUGCACAUAAUGAAUUUUUCUUAGCCAUCAGAAUAUUAACAGGAAACACUUGCCUGUUUGGUGGGUGUGUAUUUGCCUCAGAGUACACAAGUCCCAUUUUUCUCCCCCAUUUUGUUCUCAUUCUUCGGUACAUGGACAGGCUGUAAAAAGAGUGCACACGUGAGAGUCUGGCAUUGAUAGUUCUGCAGCACACCUGGGAAAAGGGCAUGGCAGAAGCUGAGAGCUGCAGGGGGAAGCCCUGCUCUGGUGGCUUUCGGCUGAGAGUGCUCAGUGUGCUGGCAGGACUCCUGAUUAUCCGCCGAGAUCUGCAGAUGCUUCUGGAAGCUGAGAGCUCUGUGCUGGCAGCCUGCAGGUUGCACGUCACAGCGAACCCAGGAGGCGACGAGCAUACUCCAAACGUCCCUCUGACGUCGUGUUUGUUGAAGGGCCGAAGGAGUCGGGAAUUCACAUUUCUUUCCUCCUGUCCGAUGAACGGACGGAGCGCCCCACUCAAAGAUGGCGGCGUGGGGCGCUGCCCGGCACAAAGAUGGCGGCCGGAGGCGUGAUCGCGGCGGGCUCGGCCCGGGCCCGGCCCCUGGCUGAGGGCGGGACUUCCUGGGGCGGAGCGGCGG
RNAcentral lists this long non-coding RNA (1225 nucleotides) under Numida meleagris (helmeted guineafowl). RNAcentral's name for it is "lncRNA (ENSNMEG00000013417.1)". The record is from RNAcentral. Lineage: Eukaryota; Metazoa; Chordata; Aves; Galliformes; Numididae.